This 234-nucleotide ribosomal RNA is filed under the name uncultured bacterium. RNAcentral's name for it is "partial 16S ribosomal RNA". It matches the Rfam family "Bacterial small subunit ribosomal RNA", at positions 524 to 757 of the family's 1533-position model. The record is from RNAcentral.
UACGGAGGGUGCAAGCGUUGUCCGGAAUCACUGGGCGUAAAGGGCGCGUAGGCGGCUCAUGAAGGCUGUGGUGAAAGUCCGGGGCUCAACCUCGGAUCGGCCGUGGCGACUCGUGGGCUGGAGCACUGUAGAGGCAGGCGGAAUUCCGGGUGGUAGCGGUGGAAUGCGUAGAGAUCCGGAAGAACACCAGUGGCGAAGGCGCCCGCUGGGCAGUGGCUGACGCUGAAGCGCGAC